UGGGGCGUGGCCAAGCGGUAAGGCACCGGUUUUUGGUACCGGCAUUCGCAGGUUCGAAUCCUGCCGCCCCAGCCA
RNAcentral lists this transfer RNA (75 nucleotides) under Limibacillus halophilus. RNAcentral describes it as "tRNA-Gln". It matches the Rfam family "tRNA". Rfam says of the family: Transfer RNA (tRNA) molecules are approximately 80 nucleotides in length. Their secondary structure includes four short double-helical elements and three loops (D, anti-codon, and T loops). Lineage: Bacteria; Pseudomonadati; Pseudomonadota; Alphaproteobacteria; Rhodospirillales; Rhodovibrionaceae. The record is from RNAcentral. RNAcentral also lists the same sequence under 1 other name.